AGAAGGAAUUACCCCAUCUACACCUGCGCUACGUGAACAUCUAACCGUGAGUGAUGUCACGAACUGCUUCGCGGAAUUUUGAAUCCAGGAGCUCGUGGUUUACGCGGGCCGAUUGCUUUUAUUGCAAUCGCAGCCGAGUGGAUCGCGCCUGGUUGCUAUGGCCCCUUGAGGGCCCCGCUGAUUAUCACCUUACUUAGCGAUCAGCAAAAGCUCUUGGGCGCAAGCCUCAACACAACUUUCAGCGACGGAUAUCUUGCCUCGGGCACCAAUGAAGGGCGCAGCGAAACGCGAUAGUGUUGUGAAUUGCAGAACUCCGUGAACCAAUAGCACCCUGAACUCGCAUUGCACUCUUGGGACACGCCUGAGAGUAUGUCUGCUUCAGUGCUUUUUCAUAUCUUCGCAGCGCGGACUUCCUGGAGAAGCCUUGAGCCUCUUUGCGCGCUGCUGCUUCCUAAUUUGCAGCGGCGCGCUGAACACGAACCUUGAGGUAAGCUGGACUGAUUUGUCCCACAUCACAGGACACGUGUGUCCUUUUUGAAACAAUCAUGCCAGCCUGCCAAGCAAUUGGUGCUCAAAUACCAAUCUUAGAAUGAAGUAACAUUAUCACAUCCGCUGAAUUAUGCCAGAUUUGUAUUCGGAGGAUUGGACACUAUCUCGGAUCUCCAAUCAGGCAAGAAUACCCCGCUGAAUUUAAGCAUAUUAUUAGGCGGAGGAAAAGAAACUAACAA
RNAcentral lists this ribosomal RNA (728 nucleotides) under Symbiodinium sp. ZX12. RNAcentral's name for it is "eukaryotic LSU rRNA". The stretch from base 234 to 387 matches the Rfam family "5.8S ribosomal RNA". Lineage: Eukaryota; Dinophyceae; Suessiales; Symbiodiniaceae. The record is from RNAcentral.